Molecule: ribosomal RNA, 254 nt
Filed under: uncultured bacterium
Lineage: Bacteria
Description: partial 16S ribosomal RNA
Rfam family: Bacterial small subunit ribosomal RNA
Source: RNAcentral
UACGUAGGGUGCGAGCGUUGUCCGGAAUUAUUGGGCGUAAAGAGCUCGUAGGCGGUGUGUCGCGUCGGCCGUGAAAACCUGCAGCUUAACUGUGGGCGUGCGGUCGAUACGGGCAUCACUGGAGUUCGGCAGGGGAGACUGGAAUUCCUGGUGUAGCGGUGAAAUGCGCAGAUAUCAGGAAGAACACCCGUGGCUAAGGCGGCUCUCUAGUACGGUACUGACGCUGAGACGCGAAAGCGUGGGGAGCGAACAGG